Molecule: long non-coding RNA, 1784 nt
Filed under: Calidris pugnax (ruff)
Lineage: Eukaryota; Metazoa; Chordata; Aves; Charadriiformes; Scolopacidae
Description: lncRNA (ENSCPUG00000011536.1)
Source: RNAcentral
AGGGAGGGACACGGCCCCGGGGGGGGGGUGUGUGGCCCGCGUGGAACUUUCCGUGUCCCUGCGUGUCCCCGGCCCGGUGUCCCCGUGUCCCCACAGUGCCCUGUCCCCGUGGUCCCCCUCUGCCCCAUCCCCACGGUGUCCCCUCUCCACGGUUCCCGUGUCCCCAAGGUCCUCGUGUGCCCCCCUCCUCAUGGUGCCAGCGUCCCCAAGGUCCUCCUAUGCCCCCUCCCCACAGCUCCCGUGUCCCCAAGGUCUCCUGUCCCCAUCCACCCCCUCCUGCCAGUGCCUGUGUCCCCACAUUGCCCCUUCGCUGGGGUCCCCAUGUCCCUGUGUGUCCCCUCCUCAGGGUGCCAUGGUCUCCUUGUCCCCAUGUGCCCCAUUCCUGUGGUGUCCAUGUCCCCAUGGUCCCCGUGUGCCCACUUCUCGCGGUGCCCUCGUCCCCGUGGUGCCCCUUCCCUUGUCCCUGUGGUCCCCAUGUCCCCAGGUGCCCCUUCCCUGAGGUGUCCAUGUCCCUACAUGUCCCCCUUCUCACAGCGACCUCGUCCCCACGAUGUCCCUUCUGUGGGGGUUCCUUGUCCCCGUGGUGCCUGUGCCCUUGGCACUAUGGUCCCUGUGUCCCCACCAUCCCCCCUCAUGUCCCCUAUGGCCCCAUGGUGUCCCUUCUCCACGGUGCACUUCUCCCUACAGUCCCUGUGUCCCCCUGGUCCCCGUGUCCCCAUUGUGCCCCCCUUUGUCCUCAUGGUCCCCUAUGUCCCCAUUGUCCCCACCGUGCCCCUUCCCUGUGUUGUUCUUGUCCCCAUGGUCUGCUUGUCCCCCAAGUCCCCCCGUGCCCCUUCCCUGUAGUGUCCUUGUCCCCGUGGUCCCUGUGUCCCCAUUGCCCCCCCAAUGUCCCCAGAGUCCCCUCUGUCUCCAUUGUCCCCAUGGUGCCCCUUGUGCGGUGCCCUUGUCUCCAAGGUCCCUCUGUCCCCCAUGGUUCUCCCUAUGCCCCAUCCCUGCGGUGCCCGUGCCCCCUUGGGGGGGGUGCUGGUGUCCCCCAUGUCUCCUCUGUCUCCAUUGUCCCCAUGGUGCCCCUUGUGCGGUGCCCUUGUCUCCAAGGUCCCUCUGUCCCCCAUGGUUCUCCCUAUGCCCCAUCCCUGCGGUGCCCGUGCCCCCUUGGGGGGGUGCUGGUGUCCCCCAUGGCCCCCCCCCCCCCCUUUGUCCCCCAGGCAGGGCUGGCACAGUGCCAGCGCGAGGCAGAGGAGGUGACGGAGCUGAUGAAGCAGAACUUUGCGCGGGCGCUGGAGCGGGACGGGCGCCUCAGUGACCUCGACAGCCGGGCCCAGGAGCUGCGCGCCAUGGGCGAAGUCUUCAGCCGCAGCACCCGGGUGGUGGCUCAGCAGCAGCGCAGGGGACACCGACGCUGGCGCCUGGCAGCCAUCGGCCUCGCUGCCUUCCUCCUCCUCUUCCUCAUCCUCGUCCUCAGCCUGGCCCUAUGGCUCUCACGGCCAGCCCCUGCCGUCGUCACUGUCACUGUCCCCCCCCCACCCCUUCCUGGGGGGACUAAGCCCCCCUCCGAGCCACAGCUGGGACUUUGGGAGACCCUACAAUAACGCAAGAGUGAGAACUAUUUUGGGGAGACCCAAAUAACAAACCCUCAGGAUCUGCUUUGGGGAGACCUUCCUGUAAAUAAGAACCAGGACUUGUUUGGAGGAGACCCUACAAUAACAAAAGCGCCAGCCCCCCUCCCCCCCCCGAGGAGACCCUACAAUAAUAAACCCACAGGACCCACUACGGGGAGAUCUAAC